UACGGAAGGCAGCAGUGGGGAAUAUUGCACAAUGGGCGCAAGCCUGAUGCAGCCAUGCCGCGUGUAUGAAAAAGGCCUUCGGGUUGUAAAGUACUUUCAGUCGUGAGGAAGGUGUUAAGGUUAAUAACCUUAGCAAUUGACGUUAGCGACAGAAGAAGCACCGGCUAACUCCGUGCCAGCAGCCGCGGUAAUACGGAGGGUGCGAGCGUUAAUCGGAAUUACUGGGCGUAAAGGGCACGCAGGCGGUUAAUUAAGUUGGAUGUGAAAUCCCCGGGCUUAACCUGGGAAUGGCAUUCAAGACUGGUUAGCUAGAGUCUUGUAGAGGGGGUAGAAUUCCGAUGUGUAGCGGUGAAAUGCGUAGAGAUGUGGAGGAAUACCGGUGGCGAAGGCGGCCCCCUGGACAAAGGACUGACGCUCAUGUGCGAAAGCGUGGGGAGCAAACAGGGAUUAGAUACC
Molecule: ribosomal RNA, 456 nt
Filed under: uncultured bacterium
Lineage: Bacteria
Description: bacterial SSU rRNA
Rfam family: Bacterial small subunit ribosomal RNA
Source: RNAcentral